AUUGAACGCUGGCGGCAUGCCUAACACAUGCAAGUCGAACGGCAGCAUGAUCUAGCUUGCUAGAUUGAUGGCGAGUGGCGAACGGGUGAGUAACGCGUAGGAAUAUACCUUAUAGAGGGGGAUAACUUGGGGAAACUCAAGCUAAUACCGCAUAAUAUUUGAGGAUGAAAGCUGGGGACCGUAAGGCCUGGCGCUAUAAGAAUAGCCUGCGUACGAUUAGCUAGUUGGUGGGGUAAGGGCCUACCAAGGCGACGAUCGUUAGCUGGUCUGAGAGGAUGAUCAGCCACACUGGAACUGAGACACGGUCCAGACUCCUACGGGAGGCAGCAGUGGGGAAUAUUGGACAAUGGGGGGCAACCCUGAUCCAGCAAUGCCGCGUGUGUGAAGAAGGCCUGAGGGUUGUAAAGCACUUUCAGUGGGGGAGGAGGAUAUUUUGGUUAAGAGCUGGAAUAUUGGACGUUACCCACAGAAGAAGCACCAGCUAACUCCGUGCCAG
Molecule: ribosomal RNA, 496 nt
Filed under: uncultured bacterium
Lineage: Bacteria
Description: bacterial SSU rRNA
Rfam family: Bacterial small subunit ribosomal RNA
Source: RNAcentral